Molecule: microRNA precursor, 107 nt
Organism: Sorghum bicolor (sorghum)
Lineage: Eukaryota; Viridiplantae; Streptophyta; Magnoliopsida; Poales; Poaceae
Rfam family: MIR5565 microRNA precursor family
Source: Rfam
GUAGUCGUAUUCACAUCAAUCCAUAUGCGUUGAGAUGGAUUGGAGUGGAACUUGAACUAAAUUCCACCUCAAUCCACACCAACACGUGGAUUGAAGUGAAUACGACA